This 434-nucleotide ribosomal RNA is filed under the name uncultured Lachnospiraceae bacterium. RNAcentral's name for it is "partial 16S ribosomal RNA". It matches the Rfam family "Bacterial small subunit ribosomal RNA", at positions 341 to 792 of the family's 1533-position model. Lineage: Bacteria; Bacillati; Bacillota; Clostridia; Lachnospirales; Lachnospiraceae. The record is from RNAcentral.
ACGGAAGGCAGCAGUGGGGAAUAUUGGACAAUGGGGGAAACCCUGAUCCAGCGACGCCGCGUGAGUGAAGAAGUAUUUCGGUAUGUAAAGCUCUAUCAGCAGGGAAGAUAAUGACGGUACCUGACUAAGAAGCCCCGGCUAACUACGUGCCAGCAGCCGCGGUAAUACGUAGGGGGCAAGCGUUAUCCGGAUUUACUGGGUGUAAAGGGAGCGUAGACGGCAAGACAAGUCUGAAGUGAAAGGCAUGGGCUCAACCUGUGGACUGCUUUGGAAACUGCCUUGCUUGAGUGCCGGAGGGGUAAGCGGAAUUCCUAGUGUAGCGGUGAAAUGCGUAGAUAUUAGGAGGAACACCAGUGGCGAAGGCGGCUUACUGGACGGUAACUGACGUUGAGGCUCGAAAGCGUGGGGAGCAAACAGGAUUAGAUACCCUGGUA